CCUACGGGUGGCAGCAGUAGGGACUCUUCCACAAUGGGCGAAAGCCUGAUGGAGCAACGCCGCGUGGGUGAAGAAGGUCUUCGGAUCGUAAAACUCUGUUGUUCGAGAAGAAAGUGCGUGAGCGUAACUGUUCACGUUUCGACGGUAUAUAACCAGAAAGCCACGGCUAACUACGUGCCAGCAGCCGUGGUAAUGCGUAGGUGGCAAGCGUUAUCCGGAUGUAUUGGGCGUAAAGGGAACGCAGGCGGUCUUUUAAGUCUGAUGUGAAAGCCUUCGGCUUAACCGGAGUAGUGCAUUGGAAACGGGUAGACUUGAGUGCAGAAGAGGAGAGUGGAACUCCAUGUGGAGCGGUGAAAUGCGUAGAUAUAUGGAAGAACACCAGUGGCGAAAGCGGCUCUCUGGUCUGUAACUGACGCUGAGGUUCGAAAGCGUGGGUAGCAAACAGGAUUAGAUACCCCAGUAGUC
This 465-nucleotide ribosomal RNA is filed under the name uncultured bacterium. Its description in RNAcentral is "partial 16S ribosomal RNA". It matches the Rfam family "Bacterial small subunit ribosomal RNA", at positions 338 to 795 of the family's 1533-position model. The record is from RNAcentral.